GAGAAGAUUACUAUCAUCUUCUUUUCAAUGGUGUGUCUUCUCUUGACAUAUAACUAUCUCCACCGUCUGCAAUUGAACAUUAUGUUUCAAAUAAAGUCCAAGAUCAUAUAGGUAGUGCUCGUAGAUAUACUCAGCGAGUGGAUUUGCAUAACCCUGUCUUAUGAUAACGUGAGGUUGUAUGUCAUUAGACAUCUUGUAUGAUAGUGAUAAAAUACCCUUCCAAAGUUGGGUUCUCCUCACCCUAUUGUUGUUCAUCAAAAUCAAUUAUUAAGUGACGUAUAAUAUACGACACACAUAUCUUAGGUCCUCAAUACAAUUAUAUAUUGUAUGUCAUGC
This 336-nucleotide long non-coding RNA is filed under the name Panax ginseng (ginseng). Its description in RNAcentral is "long non-coding RNA (PGIN_LNC016095)". Lineage: Eukaryota; Viridiplantae; Streptophyta; Magnoliopsida; Apiales; Araliaceae. The record is from RNAcentral.